This 466-nucleotide ribosomal RNA is filed under the name uncultured bacterium. RNAcentral's name for it is "bacterial SSU rRNA". It matches the Rfam family "Bacterial small subunit ribosomal RNA", at positions 329 to 792 of the family's 1533-position model. The record is from RNAcentral.
GCCCAGACUCCUACGGGAGGCAGCAGUGAGGAAUAUUGGUCAAUGGCCGCAGGGCUGAACCAGCCAAGUCGCGUGAGGGAUGACGGUCCUAUGGAUUGUAAACCUCUUUUGUCAGGGAGCAAAGGGCGCCACGUGUGGCGCUUUGCGAGUACCUGAAGAAAAAGCAUCGGCUAACUUCGUGCCAGCAGCCGCGGUAAUACGAAGGGGGCAAGCGUUGUUCGGAAUUACUGGGCGUAAAGGGAGUGUAGGCGGUUUAGUAAGAUAGUGGUGAAAUCCCAGGGCUUAACUUUGGAAUUGCCAUUAUAACUAUUAGACUAGAAUUACAGAGAGGAUAGUGGAAUACCCAGUGUAGAGGUGAAAUUCGUAGAUAUUGGGUAGAACACCAGUGGCGAAGGCGACUAUCUGGCUGUACAUUGACGCUGAGGCUCGAAAGCAUGGGGAUCAAACAGGAUUAGAUACCCCCGUA